Molecule: long non-coding RNA, 726 nt
Organism: Gadus macrocephalus (Pacific cod)
Lineage: Eukaryota; Metazoa; Chordata; Actinopteri; Gadiformes; Gadidae
Exons: 2
Source: RefSeq, a predicted model, not a curated record
GCCACUUGCUUCAGACCUGAUCCAGACAAAAGUUUUCUUCAUCCAGCAAUCGUGCCGUAUUAACGCUCAACUACAUGACGACAAACGCACUCCAUGGUCACUCAAAUGUGCCACAGCACUUAAGACCGAAGACAGAGUAGAUCUCCUCCAUCGCCACUCGCCACCUACGCUCCGCUGAUGCCAACCUUCUCACCUCCAUCACCAAGACCAAGUAUCGCACCAUGGGGGACAGAGCCUUCGCCAUCGCCGCCCCUACCCUCUGGAACUCCCUACCUCUGGCUCAUACAAUUGUUUCCAACAGGGACAUUUGAUCAUUGAUCCUAUGAGACCAGGGGUCUAACUACGAAGAAAGUUCCAAAUACCCAAGAUAUAUUUUUGCUAGCUGGCUACACUAAGCCUAAAAACCGCACUGAGGGGCAACAAUCGGAUAUAUGGACAAGUCUUCCAGAGCUGCAUAUUUUGACAAGAUGAGCAAAGUAAGCUAUAAUAUUGAACAAAUAUUACCAGCAAGGGCAGGAAGGAAAGCUGGAAAAAAUUGCAGAUUGUGUGAAUGUGUGCUUAUCACUGCCCCAUCAUUAAGUCAUGAGUAGAUCUUACCGUAAUUACAAGUGUGUAUUCCAUGAAAUAAAUGUGUUGCUUAGAUGUGUUAAAAGAAAGACAAUUGUAACCUAAUUAUUUCACAGCGAUAAACCGUCUUGGGAGCAAAUAAAGAACUUGCUCAGAGAA